Molecule: small nucleolar RNA, 137 nt
Organism: Sorex araneus (European shrew)
Lineage: Eukaryota; Metazoa; Chordata; Mammalia; Eulipotyphla; Soricidae
Source: Ensembl
UCGUCUUCGAAUCAAGGCUGGCAGUUUGCUGAAGCUGUUGGAUGCAUGGAAGAGCCUAAAAAAUAUGUCUUUCUAUGAUCUGCUGCCAUUUCAGAGCUGUGGAAAUGUAAUGGUCAGUUCACUAGAAAGAAGCACCC